CUGCCUGUAUGGGCGCCAAUUAAUUUAGAGCGAGGAGGAAGAGAGAAAGUUCGUGGCUACUCGCCUUUCAGUUGUCGCCAGUAGUUGUGAAUUGUGUUCAUUUAGAAAUUUCCUGAGUGCGUGUGCAAGUCCCGUGUGCGUCUAUGAGAGGUGAGUGCAUGAACCUCUUUGUACUGUUUAGCAUUUAUUAUUGUUGUUUGAGACACCACGAGUUAGCUCCGCGCGCUAAGCUUAUUAGCGAAUUGCUAAAGUGCCAUCUCGGUAUUUACUGUGAGUUGUAUGUUAGUAUAUUGGCCUUGCUGUCACUACUGGGCUGUAAUUCGCUUUAUUUUCUCCUUUAUACAGAAAACCACACACCCACAUACACACUCAUUCAUCCACGAAUUAACCGGCACCAAUUCCUGCUAAGCCAUCUACAGUUUAGUUGACUACCCAUCCAAAUUAAACCAUCGCCAUUACACGGACAUUGUCGCCAUCUGUUGUACCAUUUUGGAACUGCCAUUUUGGAUAAAGUAAUUUUAAGUUACUGCAAUCUGCCUCCUCAUUAUUCUGCCUCCUUCCAUCCAUCCUUGGACAUCCUGGGCCAUGAAGUAGCGCUCUGGCCGGCGCCCCAGCUUGUGUGAGAUAGAAAUUUGAACCACCCAGAUCUACAGUCAGGUUUCCUAAGCUAUCGCAAAUCCUCCCCCACAGUGUACUUGUUGUGUUUUUCUGAGUUUUGCAGCCCUCUGCUGGCGCUUGGGUGUGACUGAUUUUAUAGGCUUCAGCACCCAUGAGCAUUGUGUGCCCAGAAGGCAAGGAAUCCUUCGCAGCAUCGACAGUGGCAACAGCCUGACCACGGACGCCAUCGUGCAGAGGAUCACCAAAAACAGACUACUUUUUCAAGACAGGAACCAGAAGAAAGAAGCCACAGAGAUUGUAGUGAUCCAGGCCAUGCAGCGACACCAUGUGGCGGACCAGUGUUACGACCAGUGUUGUUAAUAACGGCGUUACAAUAUAACGGCGUUACUAACGGCGUUAUUUUUUUCAGUAAUGAGUCAUCUAAUUAAUUACUUUUCUCAUCUUGGCAACGCCGUUACCGUUACUGAGGCGGGAAAGGCGUGCGUUACUAUGCGUUACUAAGUUGGUUGAAUAAAAAAAAAGUCUGAGAGAAAUGGACUCACGGGGACGAGAGCUGAGCAGGAGUGGGGAAGAUGCCGUUGCAACCGCGAUGCUAGGUGGCUCCAAUAAUACACGACUGCAGCCAUAGCCGACAAACUACGCCCACAUGACACAGUAGAUAUCAUAUUAUAGAACUAGAUGCAAAUGACAGACACUGCUGCAUUGCCAACAUGUUUUAAGGACUACAUGCGUUUGUAAACAGCCGCCAUCUUAAAGCAGUAGACCUCUCAGGAAGGCCCUGAUGUAGAGAUCCUUCCUCGCGAACCUAAGUAAUUUUUUAAAAUAUAAAAUGCUCCUAAAUCGGCAAAAUCUUAACUUAAAUCUAUCUUUAAAUGAUGAAACAGUUUUAAAACUUACACAUGUUUAAAGUAGACAGAAGGGAACUAAUGCAAUAACGGGAGAAAUUUUAACAACUUUAACGAUUGAUUCACAACUUUAAAUGACUUCCACACAUAGCAAAGGUUACUAGCUAGUUAUCGCAAUACCCUUGUGUCUAGUUAAGCGGAGGGUAAAGAAUUGGGCUAGGGCCAACUGUCCCCCAAACCCUUUAAGCUUCACAUUGUGUGACCUGUGGGGUUUUUUUUGAGAAAAAAAAAAUAUAUAUCACUAGUUACUUUACCAAGUAACUAAUUACUCUUACAUUCAGGUAACUGAGUUACUAACGCAAUUACUUUUUGGGAGAAGUAAUUUGUAACUGUAAUUAAUUACUUUUUUAAAGUAAAAUUAAGAACACUGCAUGGCACUAAAUGCGUUAGUAGACAGCCGCCAUCUUAAAGCAGUAGACUUUUUAGGACGGCUCUGUUGUAGAGAACCUUCCUAGCGAACCUAAGUAACUUUUUAUCUAAAAUACUUCUAAAUUGGCAAAAUCUUGACUUGAAUCUAUCUUUAAAUGAUGAAACAGUUUUAAAACUUUCAUAUGUCGAAAUUAGAGAGAAGGGAACAAAUGCAAUAAUGGGAGCAAUUUUAACAACUUUUAACAGUUGAUUCAGGGUAAAGGGUAAAUUAGGGUAAUGAAUUGGGCUCGGGCCAAUUGUACCAAAAACCUUCACAAAAAACUUCACAUAGUGUGGCCAAUGGUUUUUUUUUUUUUUCCUUGGAGGGGGAAAAAAAAAAAAAAAAAAGUAAUUAUCUCCAAUUACUUUGCCAAGUAACUAAUUACUCUUACAUUCAGGUAAUUGAGUUACUAACGCAGUUACUUUUUGGGAGAAGUAAUUUGUAACUAUAAUUAAUUACUUUUUUUCAGUAAGAUUAACAACACUGGUUACGACACCAAAUGAGCCUAAAGUCAAGGGAAUCCUAGCGCAACACAGUGGUCCGGAGUUUAGCUUUGGCUUGUUUUUAGUUUAUUUAUAAACAAGCAAGGCAUAUUAGAGUUUCUUGCCUUGAAAAGAUUGAAACACCCUCAUUUUUACAAUUCUUUUUUUUUUUCUAUCUGGUUGUUGCUUUCCUACCUUUAUUUCCCAAGAAAAGCAUGCACAAGCCACAAGCUUUGCCUUCAAAAUAAACCCUUAACUUUUUUGAAUGGUCAACAACUGGAAUAUUCCUCCUCUGUUUUGUUUUAUUUUUUCACUGCUUGCUUGCCCUGUAAGUGGAUGCUUUUUUUUUCACCUCUUGGAUCCUCCGGUGUAACCGGACUACAGUUUUAUGUCUCUAAAACCAGCACUAACUGUGACCCCUGUGGAAACUUUUAACAGACUUGUGUCAGGAAAUCAUUCUACAUAACUAAUAAACAGAAAACAAGCUAUUUUCAGAAUUCUGCUGUG
Molecule: long non-coding RNA, 2921 nt
Organism: Corythoichthys intestinalis (scribbled pipefish)
Lineage: Eukaryota; Metazoa; Chordata; Actinopteri; Syngnathiformes; Syngnathidae
Exons: 3
Source: RefSeq, a predicted model, not a curated record